GAAACAUCUAAGUACCCCGAGGAAAAGAAAUCAACCGAGAUUCCCCCAGUAGCGGCGAGCGAACGGGGAGGAGCCCAGAGCCUGAAUCAGCAUGUGUGUUAGUGGAAGCGUCUGGAAAGGCGCGCGAUACAGGGUGACAGCCCCGUACACAAAAGCGCAUGUGCUGUGAGCUCGAUGAGUAGGGCGGGACACGUGGUAUCCUGUCUGAAUAUGGGGGGACCAUCCUCCAAGGCUAAAUACUCCUGACUGACCGAUAGUGAACCAGUACCGUGAGGGAAAGGCGAAAAGAACCCCGGCGAGGGGAGUGAAAAAGAACCUGAAACCGUGUACGUACAAGCAGUGGGAGCACAGGUUUACCUGUGUGACUGCGUACCUUUUGUAUAAUGGGUCAGCGACUUAUAUUCUGUAGCAAGGUUAACCGAAUAGGGGAGCCGGAGGGAAACCGAGUCUUAAUUGGGCGUUAAGUUGCAGGGUAUAGACCCGAAACCCGGUGAUCUAGCCAUGGGCAGGUUGAAGGUUGGGUAACACUAACUGGAGGACCGAACCGACUAAUGUUGAAAAAUUAGCGGAUGACCUGUGGCUGGGGGUGAAAGGCCAAUCAAACCGGGAGAUAGCUGGUUCUCCCCGAAAGCUAUUUAGGUAGCGCCUCGUGAAUUCAUCUCCGGGGGUAGAGCACUGUUUCGGCUAGGGGGCCAUCCCGGCUUACCAACCCGAUGCAAACUGCGAAUACCGGAGAAUGUUAUCACGGGAGACACACGGCGGGUGCUAACGUCCGUCGUGAAGAGGGAAACAACCCAGACCGCCAGCUAAGGUCCCAAAGUCAUGGUUAAGUGGGAAACGAUGUGGGAAGGCCCAGACAGCCAGGAUGUUGGCUUAGAAGCAGCCAUCAUUUAAAGAAAGCGUAAUAGCUCACUGGUCGAGUCGGCCUGCGCGGAAGAUGUAACGGGGCUAAACCAUGCACCGAAGCUGCGGCAGCGACGCUUAUGCGUUGUUGGGUAGGGGAGCGUUCUGUAAGCCUGUGAAGGUGGCCUGUGAGGGUUGCUGGAGGUAUCAGAAGUGCGAAUGCUGACAUAAGUAACGAUAAAGCGGGUGAAAAGCCCGCUCGCCGGAAGACCAAGGGUUCCUGUCCAACGUUAAUCGGGGCAGGGUGAGUCGACCCCUAAGGCGAGGCCGAAAGGCGUAGUCGAUGGGAAACGGGUUAAUAUUCCCGUACUUGGUGUUACUGCGAAGGGGGGACGGAGAAGGCUAUGUUGGCCGGGCGACGGUUGUCCCGGUUUAAGCGUGUAGGUGUGUGUUCCAGGUAAAUCCGGUUCACUUUAACACUGAGGCGUGAUGACGAGGCACUACGGUGCUGAAGUAACAAAUGCCCUGCUUCCAGGAAAAGCCUCUAAGCAUCAGGUAACAUCAAAUCGUACCCCAAACCGACACAGGUGGUCAGGUAGAGAAUACCAAGGCGCUUGAGAGAACUCGGGUGAAGGAACUAGGCAAAAUGGUGCCGUAACUUCGGGAGAAGGCACGCUGACAC
This 1525-nucleotide ribosomal RNA is filed under the name Salmonella enterica subsp. enterica serovar Dublin. RNAcentral describes it as "partial 23S ribosomal RNA". It matches the Rfam family "Bacterial large subunit ribosomal RNA", at positions 195 to 1757 of the family's 2925-position model. The record is from RNAcentral. Lineage: Bacteria; Pseudomonadati; Pseudomonadota; Gammaproteobacteria; Enterobacterales; Enterobacteriaceae.